Alnus glutinosa is the source of this 760-nucleotide long non-coding RNA. RefSeq lists it as uncharacterized. The record is from RefSeq and is a predicted model, not a curated record. The transcript has 2 exons. Lineage: Eukaryota; Viridiplantae; Streptophyta; Magnoliopsida; Fagales; Betulaceae.
UGUAAAGUACAAUGGUAGAAACAAAAGAGCUUGAAUAAUCCGACUCAAACCUUUUGUUUUUCUCCUACCGUCUCAAAAAAUGUUAUGUACCCCUUAAACAUAUGGUAUUAAAAGAAUACGCAUUUUUCACAUACCAAAAGAUACAUAGCAUCUUUAGAGACUGGGUUAAAGGAGAUUCCUCCAACCCAGUUUGGAGAAAAUUUUUGUCGUUAACAUUUUAGUUUUAGAGAGAAUGGGGGCAUGUUAUUCAAUAUCUAGCUUGCUUAAUUUGACUUUACACUCCUAUUCCUUUGGCUAGAAUGAUUUAAUUAAGGAUGAAACAUGACAAUUUAUGCUAUAAAUAUCAGUACAACUCUUUCUUGUUUGGCAUAAUUAGAACAAAAAACAUGGCUAGAGUUGUCUACUUUGUAGUCUUCAUUGUCCCCGUCCUUCUUACUAGUGUGGAAAUAGCUACGGCUCUUCUUGGAUGUGGGACUUCUACCGCAUAUUGUGAAGUACCAAGUAUCACAUGGCAUGGUGCAUGUAGAAAUUCUGAGCAUUGUGACACCAAAUGCAGGGAGUCUGAGGAUGCCCAUUGUGGAACCUGCACAGGGAUGAUUCGGAGCAAAUGCCACUGUUUUUUCAAAUGUUGAACACAGACAUCUGAAUUAAUCAUGAAAUAUAUGUUGUUAGGAUUUUGUUGCAAUUAAGGAGCAAUGUCUUCAAAUACAUGUUCUCAUGAAUGUGUGCAAUGUUAAUGUAUUUUUCAUUUUGUACUGUA